Molecule: ribosomal RNA, 453 nt
Filed under: uncultured Porphyromonadaceae bacterium
Lineage: Bacteria; Pseudomonadati; Bacteroidota; Bacteroidia; Bacteroidales; Porphyromonadaceae
Description: partial 16S ribosomal RNA
Rfam family: Bacterial small subunit ribosomal RNA
Source: RNAcentral
ACGGAAGGCAGCAGUGAGGAAUAUUGGUCAAUGGGCGGAAGCCUGAACCAGCCAAGUCGCGUGAAGGAUGAAGGUAUUAUGUAUUGUAAACUUCUUUAGCAGCAGAGUAAUAAGGGGGUCGUGACCCCCGAUGCAAGUAUGCUGAAAAUAAGGAUCGGCUAACUCCGUGCCAGCAGCCGCGGUAAUACGGAGGAUCCGAGCGUUAUCCGGAUUUAUUGGGUUUAAAGGGUGCGCAGGCGGUUUUUUAAGUCAGUGGUUAAAUCGUGAGGCUCAACCUCAUCACGCCAUUGAUACUGGAAGACUUGAUUGCGGUUGAGGUUGGCGGAAUUCGUCGUGUAGCGGUGAAAUGCAUAGAUAUGACGAAGAACACCGAUUGCGUAGGCAGCUGACCAAGCCGUAAAUGACGCUCAUGCACGAAAGUGCGGGGAUCAAACAGGAUUAGAUACCCUGGUA